RNAcentral lists this ribosomal RNA (223 nucleotides) under uncultured fungus. RNAcentral's name for it is "partial small subunit ribosomal RNA". The stretch from base 106 to 223 matches the Rfam family "Eukaryotic small subunit ribosomal RNA", at positions 745 to 864 of the family's 1831-position model. The record is from RNAcentral. Lineage: Eukaryota; Fungi.
GGCUUGUAACAUUUUGCCAGCCACGGUUUCGUGUGUUAGUGCUUGAUGUUCUGGCCAUCCUUCCAAUUGCUGCUUACUUCUCUUCAUUGAUUGGUAUGUAGUAUUGGAUCUUUUACUUUGAAAAAAUUAGAGUGUUUAAAGCAGGCUAUUGCUAUGAAUACAUUAGCAUGGAAUAAUAAUUUAGGACUUCGGUUCUAUUUUGUUGGUUUCUAGGACUGAAGUA